ACAUACAAGCAUGACAUGAUAUAAUAAUCACCAUGCUACAAAUAGAUGCAAGAGGAAGGCAGAGGAAGGACAUCCAACCCAGAGAAGGGCCCACCAUGGGUGCUGACAGCUUCAUGAUGGGAGAGGAGAGCCCCUAGUCACUCAGCUGCCGUGGCAGGAGAGGAAAACUUAAUGGGCUGAAGAAAGCGAGGAUGCAGUCUGGCUUUGGCUUCUCAGCACGGCCACACGGACAUCUGAGUGUCCACCUCGAACUGUGGUCAGUGAGAAGGAGAAGAUGGGUCUCAGAGGUGCUAAGUGACUUCCCCGAGGCCACCCCACUGUCCCCAGUCGACUGGCCCCAGAACCGGAGCUUCCGGCUUUCCGAGGCACUGCCCUUACCACCUGCAUCCACUGGUCAUCUUCGUAGAUGACAAGAAGACACAGCAGUGUCACCUUGUUUGAACUCAGCUGGGAAUAUACCAGGUGCGCAAUUUAAAUUUUUGUCACUACACGAAUGUCAGCAUGCCUGACCCCCAAAUUACCAGGAGCGUUGAUUUGGGGCUUACAGAUUAACUUUAGUGAAUAGGCAAAUUUGCAAACACAGAAUUUGCACAUAAAAAGGAUCAACCAUACCCAAGAGUGGAACCACUGGGUCACAUGGUAAUUUGUGUAGCUUUCUAAAGAACCACCAAACUGGGUUCCACGGUGGUGGCACCAUUUUGCAAGCCUGGAGGAUUUUUAAACUCAGAUUUCUGUUUAUUAUAAAUAACAGAACGAUGAAAAGCUUUGUGCGUGAAGAUUUAUGUAAAUCAAUGAUUACUUCCGAAAAACUUGAUUGAAACGGAAUGGCUGAAUCAAAAGAGUUUUUAAUACUUUGAGGACAGGUCAAUACGUUAAUAUUUGUAAAGCACUGAGAACAGGGACCUGGUGAAUAGUGUUAUUAUUUAGUGCUAAUUAAAGAAAUUAAAUAUUAAAUAAAUCACGCCAGGUUCAACUCUUUCCCACUCCCGGGAGAGGAGCACAC
Neofelis nebulosa (Clouded leopard) is the source of this 1003-nucleotide long non-coding RNA. RefSeq lists it as uncharacterized. The record is from RefSeq and is a predicted model, not a curated record. NCBI's taxonomy places the organism in Eukaryota, Metazoa, Chordata, Mammalia, Carnivora, Felidae. The transcript is spliced from 3 exons.